AUGGGACAGUCACAUGGCCCGUGGACCCAGGUGUCCAGCCUCAGGAGGCCGAGGCCAGGAGACCCGAGGGGCGGGCCUGGCCUGAGCGUCUUCCCACACGGGGGUGUGUGUGUGGGGGUGUACACCAGCCCACAUUCUAAGGAUCUUCCCAGCAUCCUCUUCCUGUGGGGUCUGCACCUGCUGCAGGCAGGCGGGGGGUGUGGUCCUGGGGGGCGCAGAGGCGUCAGGCUCAGGGCAGGGCCUGGCUGUCUACACUUCAGCCCACUCAGAGCUGGGCAGUGCCUCGGGGCCAGGGGCUCCGGGGCAGAGAACACUCAGAGACCCCAGCCCGGUCCUCCCGUCCUCAGCGGCCUGAGGAGCCGCGUCUGCAGCUUCUCCCCCCGAACCCGGGGACACGGCAGAGAGUGUGCAGGCGGCGGUGGCGGCUCAGGAGGGGUUUCUUCAGCCUCCCGCCUCGCAGAUGGCUCAGGAAGCAGAGAAGAGGCUGCACAGAGGCUUCAGCAGGGACUUUUUAAGGUUCUCAUAGUGAAAUGGGGUGUGAAUUAGAGCGUGCACCGCCUGGAUCUGCUUGAGAGCGGGCAAGGGCUGGCAUCUUCCCGGGGUUUCUGCAGGCUCCUCUGGGCACGGCCUGCUGGCGUCUGGAGCAAGCAGGGCUUGGCAGGAAGCAAGACCAGGCUCACAGUUAAAGAGGAGGAAUGUACAAGUUUGGGGAAAUUGGAGUAGGCUGGAAGCAGGGCCCUGGGAUCGACCCCUGGGGUGGGGGGAACAGAUGCCAGCCUACCCACCAGAGCAGAUCUUCCUGCCCAGCCCUUGACCAGGGCCCCAGAAGAUUCUCGGUGACGACAAAUGAUAGCUGCCAGACCCACCCACCCGCCUGGCACACCUGGACGCUGCAGGAAGGCCAGCAUGGCCACACCUCAGCAGAGAGAGGUGUGCCUCACUUGUGGCCACCAGAUCUCCCUCCGUGCGUGGAGAUCACAAACAGAACCCUGGUGGAGAGGAGUCUUGGGACCCAUGUGUGUGUUUUUGCUUUUUUUUUUUUUUUUUUUUUUUUUUUUUUUUUUUUUUGGAAACUUCCCAGGCCAGGGAUCAAACUGAGCUGCAGCUGCAACCUAUGACACAGCUGCAGCCACACUGGCUUCUUAACCCACUGUGCAGGGAUCAAAGCCACAUCACCACAGAGACAACACCUGAUCCUUAAUCCACAUCAGGGACUCCAGAAACUGUGUUUUUAAGGAUCCCUCCUCUGCAUGACAGGAUGGCCCCUUAGGAGACCCUGAGUGAUAAGGACACCAUUUACCGUUCCCUCCAAAAGACCCUUUGCUUGCUUUCUACCUGGCUGUUGUUUCUUAUUGAUUUCCGGGAGCUCUUUAUAUAUUGUAGACGCUGAGAGGUUGUUUAUAAUAUCACCUCUAACUAUUUGUAAGGUUUUCUUUUUUUUUUUUCUUUGUCUUUACAGGAUUUUAUUUUAUUUUUUUUAUUACUCAAAUGAAUUUAUCACAUCUGUAGUUGUAUAAUGAUCAUAACAAUCCGAUUUCACAGGAUU
This 1546-nucleotide long non-coding RNA is filed under the name Sus scrofa (pig). Its description in RNAcentral is "lncRNA (ENSSSCG00055030897.1)". The record is from RNAcentral. Lineage: Eukaryota; Metazoa; Chordata; Mammalia; Artiodactyla; Suidae.